AGCGAACGUUUGCGGCGGGCCUAACACAUGCAAGUCGAACGGGCAGUCCCUUCGGGGGCUGUCAGUGGCGCACGGGUGCGUAACACGUAGGUAAUCAACCCUCGGGUUCGGGAUAACACUUCGAAAGGGGUGCUAAUACCGGAUGCGACGAGCGUCUCCUCGGAGAUGCACGGGAAAGAUCCGCAAGGGUCGCCCGAGGACGAGCCUGCGGCCCAUCAGCUUGUUGGUGGGGUAACGGCCUACCAAGGCUACGACGGGUAGCUGGUCUGAGAGGAUGAUCAGCCACACUGGCACUGAGAUACGGGCCAGACUCCUACGGGAGGCAGCAGUGAGGAAUAUUGCGCAAUGGGCGAAAGCCUGACGCAGCGACGCCGCGUGGGGGAUGAAGGUUUUCGGAUUGUAAACCCCUUUCAUGAGGAAAGAUAAAGUGGGUAACCACUUAGACGGUACCUCAAGAAGAAGCCACGGCUAACUUCGUGCCAGCAGCCGCGGUAAUGUCUAGC
Molecule: ribosomal RNA, 503 nt
Filed under: uncultured bacterium
Lineage: Bacteria
Description: bacterial SSU rRNA
Rfam family: Bacterial small subunit ribosomal RNA
Source: RNAcentral